UUCUGUGUAUGGCACUGGUAGAAUUCACUGUGAACAGUCUCAGUCAGUGAAUUACCGAAGGGCCAUAAACAGAG
Molecule: non-coding RNA, 74 nt
Organism: Cricetulus griseus (Chinese hamster)
Lineage: Eukaryota; Metazoa; Chordata; Mammalia; Rodentia; Cricetidae
Source: Rfam